Molecule: ribosomal RNA, 666 nt
Filed under: Alexandrium tamarense
Lineage: Eukaryota; Dinophyceae; Gonyaulacales; Pyrocystaceae
Description: eukaryotic LSU rRNA
Rfam family: Eukaryotic large subunit ribosomal RNA
Source: RNAcentral
UAAGUAAGUGGUGGAAAUUAAACCAAAUGGGAUAUCUUUAGUAAUUGCGAAUGAACAAGGAUAUGCUUAGCUUGACAAAUGGAGCUAUUGGCUUUGAAUUGUAUUGUGGAAAUGUAUUACCAACAGAGGUGCAGGUGCCAGCCUAUUGAAAUAAAGCGUCAAUGAGGGUGAGAAUCCUGUUUGUCAUGUGCAGCCCUUUGUGCACGGUGUAUAUUUGCUGAGUCACACUCCUUGGCAUUGGAAUGCAAAGUGGGUGGUAAGCUUCAUGUAAAGGUAAACAUGCAAUUGAGACUGAUAGCACACAAGUACCAUGAGGGAAAUAUGAAAAGGACUUUGAAAAGAGAAUUAAAUGAGUUUGUAUUUGCUGAACACAAAGUAAACAGACUUGAUUUGCUUGGUGGGAGUGUUGCACUUGCUUGACAAGAGCUUUGGGCUGUGGGUGUAAUGAUUCUUUCUUUGCAUGCCAGUUUCUAUUUGUACAUCUGAUUACCUUUGCACAUGAAUGAUAAGUCUCCUGUGGGGGGUGGAUUGCAUGUGCAUGUAAUGAUUUGUGUUUUGAUAAAUGUGUCUGGUGUAUGUGUGUGUUCCUGUGCUUGGGGAUGCUUCCUUCCUUGGACUUACAAGCCCUGACACACACAUGCUGGCAAAAUGCUUCUGCUUGACCCG